GUAGUCAUAUGCUUGUCUCAAAGAUUAAGCCAUGCAUGUCUAAGUACAUGCCGUAGUAAGGCGAAACCGCGAAUGGCUCAUUAAAUCAGUUAUGGUUCCUUGGAUCGUACUUCCUUACUUGGAUAACUGUGGCAAUUCUAGAGCUAAUACAUGCAGCAGAGCUCCGACCUGCAAAGGGACGAGCGCUUUUAUUAGACCAAAACCAAUCGGACUCCUUCGCGGGUCCGUCAAACGUGGUGACUCUGUAUAACUUUGGGCUGAUCGCACGGGCUUGUCCCGGCGACGUAUCUUUCAAGUGUCUGCCUUAUCAACUGUCGAUGGUAGGUUACGCGCCUACCAUGGUCGUAACGGGUAACGGGGGAUCAGGGUUCGAUUCCGGAGAGGGAGCCUGAGAAACGGCUACCACAUCCAAGGAAGGCAGCAGGCGCGCAAAUUACCCACUCCCGGAACGGGGAGGUAGUGACGAAAAAUAACAAUACGGGACUCUUUUGAGACCCCGUAAUUGGAAUGAGAACACUUUAAAUCCUUUACCGAGGAUCCAUUGGAGGGAAAGUCUGGUGCCAGCAGCUGCGGUAACUCCAGCUCCAAUAGCGUAUAUUAAAGUUGUUGCGGUUAAAAAGCUCGUAGUUGGAUCUCAGUUCGAGACGGGUGGUCCGCCUCAUGGUGGUCACUGCCUGUUCUCAACACCGGCCGGUUUCUCUGGAUGAUCUUCACCGGUUGUCUUGAGUGACCGGCAAGUUUACUUUGAAAAAAUUAGAGUGCUCAAAGCAGGCGCGACGCCUGGAUAAUGGUGCAUGGAAUAAUGGAAUAGGACCUCGGUUCUAUUUUGUUGGUUUUUCGGAACCACGAGGUAAUGAUUAAGAGGGACAGACGGGGGCAUUCGUAUUGCAGCGCAGAGGGAAUCUGCCUC
This 910-nucleotide ribosomal RNA is filed under the name Mimetus testaceus. Its description in RNAcentral is "SSU rRNA". It matches the Rfam family "Eukaryotic small subunit ribosomal RNA", at positions 20 to 924 of the family's 1831-position model. Lineage: Eukaryota; Metazoa; Arthropoda; Arachnida; Araneae; Mimetidae. The record is from RNAcentral.